AUUGAACGCUGGCGGCAUGCUUUACACAUGCAAGUCGAACGGCAGCGCGGGCUUCGGCCUGGCGGCGAGUGGCGAACGGGUGAGUAAUGCAUCGGAACGUGCCCAGUAGUGGGGGAUAGCCCGGCGAAAGCCGGAUUAAUACCGCAUACGACCUGAGGGUGAAAGCGGGGGACCGAAAGGCCUCGCGCUCUUGGAGCGGCCGAUGUCGGAUUAGCUAGUUGGUGGGGUAAAGGCUUACCAAGGCGACGAUCCGUAGCUGGUCUGAGAGGACGACCAGCCACACGGGGACUGAGACACGGCCCAGACUCCUACGGGAGGCAGCAGUGGGGAAUUUUGGACAAUGGGGGCAAACCUGAUCCAGCCAUGCCGCGUGCGGGAAGAAGGCCUUCGGGUUGUAAACCGCUUUUGUUCGGGAAGAAAUCCUCUGGGCUAAUACCCCGGGGGGAUGACGGUACCGGAAGAAUAAGCACCGGCUAACUACGUG
Molecule: ribosomal RNA, 484 nt
Filed under: uncultured bacterium
Lineage: Bacteria
Description: partial 16S ribosomal RNA
Rfam family: Bacterial small subunit ribosomal RNA
Source: RNAcentral